UACAGAGGGUGCGAGCGUUAAUCGGAAUUACUGGGCGUAAAGCGCGCGUAGGCGGCUUUGCAAGUCGGAUGUGAAAUCCCCAGGCUUAACCUGGGAACUGCAUUCGAGACUGCAUUGCUAGAGUAUGGGAGAGGGAAGUGGAAUUUCCGGUGUAGCGGUGAAAUGCGUAGAUAUCGGAAGGAACAUCAGUGGCGAAAGCGACUUCCUGGACCAAUACUGACGCUCAUGUGCGAAAGCGUGGGGAGCAAACGGG
Molecule: ribosomal RNA, 253 nt
Filed under: uncultured bacterium
Lineage: Bacteria
Description: partial 16S ribosomal RNA
Rfam family: Bacterial small subunit ribosomal RNA
Source: RNAcentral